ACGAACGCUGGCGGCGUGCCUAAUACAUGCAAGUUGAGCGAUGAAGAUUGGUGCUUGCACCAAUUUGAAGAGCAGCGAACGGGUGAGUAACGCGUGGGGAAUCUGCCUUUGAGCGGGGGGCAACAUUUGGAAACGAAUGCUAAUACCGCAUAACAACUUUAAACAUAAGUUUUAAGUUUGAAAGAUGCAAUUGCAUCACUCAAAGAUGAUCCCGCGUUGUAUUAGCUAGUUGGUGAGGUAAAGGCUCACCAAGGCGAUGAUACAUAGCCGACCUGAGAGGGUGAUCGGCCACAUUGGGACUGAGACACGGCCCAAACUCCUACGGGAGGCAGCAGUAGGGAAUCUUCGGCAAUGGACGAAAGUCUGACCGAGCAACGCCGCGUGAGUGAAGAAGGUUUUCGGAUCGUAAAACUCUGUUGGUAGAGAAGAACGUUGGUGAGAGUGGAAAGCUCAUCAAGUGACGGUAACUACCCAGAAAGGGACGGCUAACUACGUG
This 496-nucleotide ribosomal RNA is filed under the name uncultured bacterium. RNAcentral describes it as "partial 16S ribosomal RNA". It matches the Rfam family "Bacterial small subunit ribosomal RNA", at positions 29 to 507 of the family's 1533-position model. The record is from RNAcentral.